GGACAAGUAACUUAGUGGUCAGUGCCUGCUUAGCAUGCAUGAGGCCCUGGGUUUGAUCCCCAGUUUGACAA
Molecule: non-coding RNA, 71 nt
Organism: Ictidomys tridecemlineatus (thirteen-lined ground squirrel)
Lineage: Eukaryota; Metazoa; Chordata; Mammalia; Rodentia; Sciuridae
Source: Rfam